UUGGGAGAGUACAUCGGGGAGCCAGCAAUGGCACCCUGACGGCUCAAACUCUUACAAACUUGGUCAUUUAGAGGAAGUAAAAGUCGUAACAAGGUAUCUGUAGGUGAACCUGCAGAUGGAUCAUUU
This 126-nucleotide ribosomal RNA is filed under the name Ustilago sp. SMN03. Its description in RNAcentral is "partial 18S ribosomal RNA". It matches the Rfam family "Eukaryotic small subunit ribosomal RNA", at positions 1709 to 1831 of the family's 1831-position model. The record is from RNAcentral. Lineage: Eukaryota; Fungi; Basidiomycota; Ustilaginomycetes; Ustilaginales; Ustilaginaceae.